This 253-nucleotide ribosomal RNA is filed under the name uncultured bacterium. RNAcentral describes it as "partial 16S ribosomal RNA". It matches the Rfam family "Bacterial small subunit ribosomal RNA", at positions 524 to 776 of the family's 1533-position model. The record is from RNAcentral.
UACGUAGGGGGCUAGCGUUGUCCGGAAUCAUUGGGCGUAAAGAGCGUGUAGGCGGUCCGGUAAGUCCGCUGUGAAAGUCGGGGGCUCAACCCUCGAAUGCCGGUGGAUACUGUCGGGCUAGAGUGCGGAAGAGGCGAGUGGAAUUCCUGGUGUAGCGGUGAAAUGCGCAGAUAUCAGGAGGAACACCUAUUGCGAAGGCAGCUCGCUGGGACGGUACUGACGCUGAGGCGCGAAAGCGUGGGGAGCAAACAGG